GGCAUGCCUAACACAUGCAAGUCGAACGAAGGCUUCGGCCUUAGUGGCGCACGGGUGAGUAACACGUGGGAACCUGCCUUAUGGUUCGGAAUAACGUCUGGAAACGGACGCUAACACCGGAUGNGCCUUCGGGGGAAAGUUUACGCCAUGAGAGGGGCCCGCGUCGGAUUAGGUAGUUGGUGAGGUAACGGCUCACCAAGCCGACGAUCCGUAGCUGGUCUGAGAGGAUGAUCAGCCACACUGGGACUGAGACACGGCCCAGACUCCUACGGGAGGCAGCAGUGGGGAAUAUUGGACAAUGGGCGCAAGCCUGAUCCANCAAUGCCGCGUGAGUGAUGAAGGCCUUAGGGUUGUAAAGCUCUUUNNCACGCGACGAUG
Molecule: ribosomal RNA, 378 nt
Filed under: Azospirillum sp. CaAL12
Lineage: Bacteria; Pseudomonadati; Pseudomonadota; Alphaproteobacteria; Rhodospirillales; Azospirillaceae
Description: bacterial SSU rRNA
Rfam family: Bacterial small subunit ribosomal RNA
Source: RNAcentral